UUCCUUUCUGAUAGCCCAUCCUGGAGGCCUUUGGCACCUAAGAGCACUCUGAGGGCACCACCCUCUUCUCCACGGUGCUCCCCUCGUGUGUGACCUGGCAGGUAAAAUUGCUAUAAGAUUUCCACUUGUCAGGUGACAGACUCAGGUA
Herpailurus yagouaroundi (jaguarundi) is the source of this 148-nucleotide long non-coding RNA. RefSeq lists it as uncharacterized. The record is from RefSeq and is a predicted model, not a curated record. The transcript has 3 exons. NCBI's taxonomy places the organism in Eukaryota, Metazoa, Chordata, Mammalia, Carnivora, Felidae.